GAACGCUGGCGGCGUGCCUAAUACAUGCAAGUCGAGCGAAGUUUUUCUGGUGCUUGCACUAGAAAAACUUAGCGGCGAACGGGUGAGUAACACGUAAAGAACCUGCCUCAUAGACUGGGACAACUAUUGGAAACGAUAGCUAAUACCGGAUAACAGCAUUAACUGCAUGGUUGAUGUUUAAAAGUUGGUUUUGCUAACACUAUGAGAUGGCUUUGCGGUGCAUUAGCUAGUUGGUGGGGUAAAGGCCUACCAAGGCGACGAUGCAUAGCCGACCUGAGAGGGUGAUCGGCCACACUGGGACUGAGACACGGCCCAGACUCCUACGGGAGGCAGCAGUAGGGAAUCUUCCGCAAUGGGCGAAAGCCUGACGGAGCAACGCCGCGUGAGUGAAGAAGGAUUUCGGUUCGUAAAGCUCUGUUGUUAGGGAAGAAUGAUUGUGUAGUAACUAUACACAGUAGAGACGGUACCUAACCAGAAAGCCACGGCUAACUACGU
RNAcentral lists this ribosomal RNA (495 nucleotides) under uncultured bacterium. RNAcentral describes it as "partial 16S ribosomal RNA". It matches the Rfam family "Bacterial small subunit ribosomal RNA", at positions 31 to 506 of the family's 1533-position model. The record is from RNAcentral.